RNAcentral lists this ribosomal RNA (776 nucleotides) under uncultured Neocallimastigales. RNAcentral's name for it is "partial large subunit ribosomal RNA". It matches the Rfam family "Eukaryotic large subunit ribosomal RNA", at positions 24 to 643 of the family's 3401-position model. Lineage: Eukaryota; Fungi; Neocallimastigomycota; Neocallimastigomycetes; Neocallimastigales. The record is from RNAcentral.
UUAUGUGAUCGUCUCUCGCAUAUCAAUAAGCGGAGGAAAAGAAACUAACAAGGAUUCCCCUAGUAACGGCGAGUGAAGCGGGAAGAGCUCAAAUUUGAAAUCUUAAAGGGUUUCCCUUUACGAAUUGUAGUUUAAAGAAGUGUUUUCUGUUGAGGUUUUGGUAAAAGUUCUUUGGAAUAGGACAUCAUAGAGGGUGAGAAUCCCGUAUUUGACCUUUACUUUCAACUUUGUGAUACACUUUCAAAGAGUCGGAUUAUUUGGGAAUGCAGUCCAAAAUGGGUGGUAAAUUUCAUCUAAAGCUAAAUAUUGGCGAGAGACCGAUAGCGAACAAGUACCGUGAGGGAAAGAUGAAAAGAACUUUGAAAAGAGAGUUAAACAGUACGUGAAAUUGUCAAAAGGGAAGCGUUUGACACCAGUGUUGUUUUUUCUGAAAAUCAAUUAAAGAACUGUUUAUGCUAAGUUGUUUAGACUUUAUCAGCUAACUGUCUAGUUUUGAGCUUUUCUUUAAUGCACUUUUCAGUUAACAAGUCAACAUCAAUUUCUUUUGCUGUAAAAAAGCUUGAGGAAGGUGGCUUGAGAUUCGUCUUAAGUGUUUAUAGCCUCUUGCCUAUGCAGUCGGAGAGAUUGAGGUCUGCAGCGUAGAUCCUUCGGGGCUAAAUGCAUUUGUGCUAAGUUAUAGCAUUUUAUAGACAACUUGUUGACUAUGAUUUGUCUUGUAGCUUACUCGCUUAUGUUAUUUUACCUACGCUUAGGAUGUUGACACACGCGCGUGCUCG